UACGUAGGCAGCAAGCGUUGUUCGGAGUUACUGGGCGUAAAGAGUGCGUAGGCGGUCCUUUAAGUUCGGUGUGAAAUCUCCCGGCUCAACUGGGAGGGUGCGCCGGAAACUAGGGGGCUAGAGUAUGGGAGAGGAAAGCGGAAUUCCUGGUGUAGCGGUGAAAUGCGUAGAUAUCAGGAGGAACACCUGUGGUGUAGACAGCUUUCUGGACCAUGACUGACGCUGAGGCACGAAAGCGUGGGGAGCAAACAGG
Molecule: ribosomal RNA, 253 nt
Filed under: uncultured Acidobacteriota bacterium
Lineage: Bacteria; Pseudomonadati; Acidobacteriota
Description: uncultured Acidobacteria bacterium partial 16S ribosomal RNA
Rfam family: Bacterial small subunit ribosomal RNA
Source: RNAcentral